This 404-nucleotide ribosomal RNA is filed under the name uncultured bacterium. Its description in RNAcentral is "partial 16S ribosomal RNA". It matches the Rfam family "Bacterial small subunit ribosomal RNA", at positions 28 to 526 of the family's 1533-position model. The record is from RNAcentral.
GACGAACGCUGGCGGCGUGCCUAAUACAUGCAAGUCGAACGCAGUGGGGACGGUUGAGUAAAACGUGGGUAACCUCCCCAUCAGAGGGGAUAACACUUGGAAACAGGUGCUACACCGAGACUGUUGGAUGGACCGUCGGUGAAUGAGCUAGUUGGUGGGGUAACGGCUCUCCAAGGCAACGAUGCAUAGCAGAGCUGAGAGGGUGACCGGCAACACUGGGACUGAGACACGGCCCAGACUCCUACGGGAGGCAGCAGUAGGGAAUAUUCGGCAAUGGACGAAAGUCUGACCGAGCAACGCCGCGUGAGUGAAGAAGGUUUUCGGAUCGUAAAACUCUGUUGUUAGAGAAGCGGUAUCUAACGAGAAAGCCACGGCUAACUACGUGCCAGCAGCCGCGGUAAUUC